AUUACCGAGUGAGGGCCCUCUGGGUCCAACCUCCCACCCGUGUUUAUUUUACCUUGUUGCUUCGGCGGGCCCGCCUUAACUGGCCGCCGGGGGGCUCACGCCCCCGGGCCCGCGCCCGCCGAAGACACCCUCGAACUCUGUCUGAAGAUUGAAGUCUGAGUGAAAAUAUAAAUUAUUUAAAACUUUCAACAACGGAUCUCUUGGUUCCGGCAUCGAUGAAGAACGCAGCGAAAUGCGAUACGUAAUGUGAAUUGCAAAUUCAGUGAAUCAUCGAGUCUUUGAACGCACAUUGCGCCCCCUGGUAUUCCGGGGGGCAUGCCUGUCCGAGCGUCAUUGCUGCCCUCAAGCCCGGCUUGUGUGUUGGGCCCCGUCCUCCGAUUUCCGGGGGACGGGCCCGAAAGGCAGCGGCGGCACCGCGUCCGGUCCUCGAGCGUAUGGGGCUUUGUCACCCGCUCUGUAGGCCCGGCCGGCGCUUGCCGAUCAACCCAAAUUUUUAUCCAGGUUGACCUCGGAUCAGGUAGGGAUACCCGCUGAACUUAAGCAUAUCAAAGGC
This 553-nucleotide ribosomal RNA is filed under the name Penicillium commune. RNAcentral describes it as "eukaryotic LSU rRNA". The stretch from base 181 to 333 matches the Rfam family "5.8S ribosomal RNA". The record is from RNAcentral. Lineage: Eukaryota; Fungi; Ascomycota; Eurotiomycetes; Eurotiales; Aspergillaceae.